CCCUUAGAUGUCCUGGGCCGCACGCGCGCUACACUGAGUGUCUGAGAUACGAGUCUGCCUAGCCGGCGAGGUCUAGGUAAUCGCUGAAAGACACAUCAUCCUUGGGAUAGAUUAUUGCAGAUAUUAAUCUUGAACGAGGAAUUCCUAGUAAGCGCAAGUCAACAGCUUGCGUUGAUUACGUCCCUGCCCUUUGUGCACACCGCCCGUCGCUACUACUGAUUGGAUGUUUAAGCGAGGUUCUCGAACUGCUAGCGACUUAGCUUCGGUGAGGUCGCUGUGUGGGAAGUGAACCUAGCUUUGGUUUCUAGAGGAAGUAAAAGUCGUAUCA
Molecule: ribosomal RNA, 328 nt
Filed under: uncultured eukaryote
Lineage: Eukaryota
Description: partial 18S ribosomal RNA
Rfam family: Eukaryotic small subunit ribosomal RNA
Source: RNAcentral